GAUGAACGCUAGCUACAGGCUUAACACAUGCAAGUCGAGGGGAAACGAUGAGAGAGCUUGCUCUCUUAGUCGUCGACCGGCGCACGGGUGAGUAACGCGUAUCCAACCUGCCUCUGACCAAGGGAUAACCCGUCGAAAGUCGGACUAAUACCUUAUGCAGUCGUCGGAAGUCAUCUGAUGACGACGAAAGAUUUCAUCGGUGAGAGAUGGGGAUGCGUCUGAUUAGCUUGUUGGCGGGGUAACGGCCCACCAAGGCGACGAUCAGUAGGGGUUCUGAGAGGAAGGUCCCCCACAUUGGAACUGAGAAACGGUCCAAACUCCUACGGGAGGCAGCAGUGAGGAAUAUUGGUCAAUGGGCGUAAGCCUGAACCAGCCAAGUAGCGUGCAGGAUGACGGCCCUAUGGGUUGUAAACUGCUUUUAUGCGGGGAUAAAGUGAGGGACGUGUCCUUCAUUGAAGGUACCGCAUGAAUAAGGACCGGCUAAUUCCGUG
Molecule: ribosomal RNA, 491 nt
Filed under: uncultured bacterium
Lineage: Bacteria
Description: partial 16S ribosomal RNA
Rfam family: Bacterial small subunit ribosomal RNA
Source: RNAcentral